UAUCUGUGCUGAUGAACGGAUGAAUACCGUGACUCCAGUAUUGGAAACACCGUAAACAAGUGCGUUCAUCCUUUCACGUCAGAGUACAAGGGUCAUAAAUACAUGAAUGGAUCAAUAUUUUUGAGUUCUAACCUACUAUUAUAAAUGGCACACAUAUAGUUUCUUUUUUUAUCUGAAACUAAUUAGAUAUAAAAAUAUCAAU
Dufourea novaeangliae is the source of this 202-nucleotide long non-coding RNA. RefSeq lists it as uncharacterized. The transcript is spliced from 3 exons. Lineage: Eukaryota; Metazoa; Arthropoda; Insecta; Hymenoptera; Halictidae. The record is from RefSeq and is a predicted model, not a curated record.